AAAUUGAAGAGUUUGAUCAUGGCUCAGAUUGAACGCUGGCGGCAGGCCUAACACAUGCAAGUCGAACGGUAACAGGAAGCAGCUUGCUGCUUCGCUGACGAGUGGCGGACGGGUGAGUAAUGUCUGGGAAACUGCCUGAUGGAGGGGGAUAACUACUGGAAACGGUGGCUAAUACCGCAUAAUGUCGCAAGACCAAAGAGGGGGACCUUCGGGCCUCUUGCCAUCAGAUGUGCCCAGAUGGGAUUAGCUUGUUGGUGAGGUAACGGCUCACCAAGGCGACGAUCCCUAGCUGGUCUGAGAGGAUGACCAGCCACACUGGAACUGAGACACGGUCCAGACUCCUACGGGAGGCAGCAGUGGGGAAUAUUGCACAAUGGGCGCAAGCCUGAUGCAGCCAUGCCGCGUGUAUGAAGAAGGCCUUCGGGUUGUAAAGUACUUUCAGCGGGGAGGAAGGUGUUGCGGUUAAUAACC
This 471-nucleotide ribosomal RNA is filed under the name Salmonella enterica. RNAcentral's name for it is "bacterial SSU rRNA". It matches the Rfam family "Bacterial small subunit ribosomal RNA", at positions 1 to 468 of the family's 1533-position model. The record is from RNAcentral. Lineage: Bacteria; Pseudomonadati; Pseudomonadota; Gammaproteobacteria; Enterobacterales; Enterobacteriaceae. RNAcentral also lists the same sequence under 1 other name.